This 1853-nucleotide long non-coding RNA is filed under the name Brassica napus (rape). RNAcentral's name for it is "long non-coding RNA (BNAP_LNC004601)". The record is from RNAcentral. Lineage: Eukaryota; Viridiplantae; Streptophyta; Magnoliopsida; Brassicales; Brassicaceae.
UCUCUGGAGGCUCUGUCCCAUACAACUGCUUCUCUGUUCAAAUCAGCAGAUGCAAACAUAGACAAAUCCGGGGAGUAACGAAUGACGCUGAUGGCGCCUCUGUGUCUCUCAAGAACUGCUUCCUCGGUGAGAGAGUCGCCAUUAACAGAAUACAGAUGGAGCUUACCGUCUUGACCACCGACAAUAGCUUCAGUUCCAUCAGGUGUUACAGCCAAAGCAGUGACGGUGAACCCAAGGUUGAUGGUUGACACUACUUUCUCACCACGGAGAAACACGACUCCUGACUCAAAGGCCACCAGAAGGAGACCUGGUGAGAGCGGUGCAAGGCUUAGAUCAUUUGGUUGGUUUCCAACGCCAAUAGACUCUUCGUUUGUGACCUGACCGUCUUGAUAAGAAAUCCUGGAUAUCUGGAUAAGCAUCAAAUAGUAAAAGAAUGCGAUAAGCUGCUUAGUUUAUCAGUAAAAUAUCUUAAAGAGUAAAGUGUGAAUGAUCUUAAGAGACCAUACAAGCAAUUUGAAAACCAGCUUACCGUAUUGUCAAAUCCAGAUGUGAUUAUCUCUUCUUCAUGAGCAGCAAAACACUUUAUCUGAGAGUUUUGCUUCCGCUGCAAUUUACCGCAAAAACCACGUCCCAUCAUCCAUUUACAUAUCAGACCAUCGUAGCUACCGGAUAGUAUGUAGUCAGAACUUCCUCUGAGCACAGAUAAGGAAGAGAUGUUCUUCAUGUGUCCCGAAAACUGGAAGGGGGAUUUAUCAAGAUCGCUUGCUGAGAAUAUGCUGAUUGUUCCACCUAGAGAAACAGUGACGAUGUGAUCGUUUUGCCACAGACACCCGACAAGCAUGUCGUCUACACCCCCUAAUGAUCCUGGACAAGUCAGAGUGGUCUUCAAUGUUCCGUUACCAGAAUCCGAGAUUUCCCAUACUUUAGCUGACUUGUCUGCAGAUACAGUGAGGACCUGAUUGGUCAUUUAAACAUAUACAAAAGUGAGUAGGGACGCAGCAUCAACCAUACUAUAAUCAAGAAUUAAAAUAUAGAAAAUAUUUCACAGAGUCUUCAUAUAAACAGAAAAUAGCUCAUGCAUCUACAAUCAAAUAUCAUAUGCUAUUAAUCCACCCUAUUCAAGCCUAUAUAACGGAUUCAGACAAUAAGUGAGAAUAUAUUACAACAAAUAGACCUAGCUCAGUACCUCUUUGCCAUCAGGACUCCAGCUAACAGCGUAGAUGCUACCUUUAUGCACAUCUUCAGAUGAGAGUUCCCCCAGUUUCUCACAAGUCUUUCCAUCAUAUAUGAUUCCCUUUUUGUCUGAACUUACAGUAAUGAACUUGCUUCCAUCUGGUGAAUACCUCACACAGUUGACAAAGUUGGAAUGCUCUCUAUUGAUCAACAAACAAGCAUGUUCUUCAGCUUCAUCUGUUUUUUUGAAAGAAAAAAAAAGAUGUAAGAUCAGUGUUAGUGUUGGAGAUUCAUGGUCAGGUUCUAAAAAAUCUUUAGUUACCUCUCUGGAGGCUCUGUCCCAUACAACUGCUUCUCUGUUCAAAUCAGCAGAUGCAAACAUAGACAAAUCCGGGGAGUAACGAAUGACGCUGAUGGCGCCUCUGUGUCUCUCAAGAACUGCUUCCUCGGUGAGAGAGUCGCCAUUAACAGAAUACAGAUGGAGCUUACCGUCUUGACCACCGACAAUAGCUUCAGUUCCAUCAGGUGUUACAGCCAAAGCAGUGACGGUGAACCCAAGGUUGAUGGUUGACACUACUUUCUCACCACGGAGAAACACGACUCCUGACUCAAAGGCCACCAGAAGGAGACCUGGUGAGAGCGGUGCAAGGCUUAGAUCAUUUGGUUGGUUUCCAACGCCA